Molecule: ribosomal RNA, 494 nt
Filed under: uncultured bacterium
Lineage: Bacteria
Description: bacterial SSU rRNA
Rfam family: Bacterial small subunit ribosomal RNA
Source: RNAcentral
GACGAACGCUGGCGGCGUGGAUUAGGCAUGCAAGUCGAACGGUAGGAUACCUUCGGGUAUCUGAGAGUGGCGAACGGGUGAGUAACACGUAGGUGAUCUACCCUCAAGAUUGGGACAACCCAGGGAAACUUGGGCUAAUACCGGAUGAAAGCAGCAGUGAUGUUGUUUGAAAGGUGGCGUAAGCUGCCGUUUGGGGAUGAGCCUGCGCUCUAUUAGUUAGUUGGCGGGGUAAAGGCCCACCAAGGCGAUGAUAGAUAGGCGGCCUUAACGGGUGGUCGCCCACACUGGGAUUGAGAUACGGCCCAGACUCCUACGGGAGGCAGCAGUCGAGAAUAGUCUACAAUGGUCGGAAGACUGAUAGUGCGACGCCGCGUGAACGAUGAAUCCCUUCGGGGUGUAAAGUUCUUUUAUAUGUGAGCAGUGCUUCUUAUAUUAACAGUAUGGGGAGAGAGAUAUUAGCAUAUGAAUAAGCAACGGCUAACUCCGUGCCAGCA